UACUUGUCUAGUUGAUGUGCAUGGCGGAC
RNAcentral lists this non-coding RNA (29 nucleotides) under Homo sapiens (human). Lineage: Eukaryota; Metazoa; Chordata; Mammalia; Primates; Hominidae. The record is from RNAcentral.